Molecule: ribosomal RNA, 497 nt
Filed under: uncultured bacterium
Lineage: Bacteria
Description: partial 16S ribosomal RNA
Rfam family: Bacterial small subunit ribosomal RNA
Source: RNAcentral
GACGAACGCUGGCGGCGUGCCUAAUACAUGCAAGUUGAGCGCUGAAGGUUGGUACUUGUACCGACUGGAUGAGCAGCGAACGGGUGAGUAACGCGUGGGGAAUCUGCCUUUGAGCGGGGGACAACAUUUGGAAACGAAUGCUAAUACCGCAUAAAAACUUUAAACACAAGUUUUAAGUUUGAAAGAUGCAAUUGCAUCACUCAAAGAUGAUCCCGCGUUGUAUUAGCUAGUUGGUGAGGUAAAGGCUCACCAAGGCGAUGAUACAUAGCCGACCUGAGAGGGUGAUCGGCCACAUUGGGAAUGAGACACGGCCCAAACUCCUACGGGAGGCAGCAGUAGGGAAUCUUCGGCAAUGGACGAAAGGCUGACCGAGCAACGCCGCGUGAGUGAAGAAGGUUUUCGGAUCGUAAAAAUCUGUUGGUAGAGAAGAACGUUGGUGAGAGUGGAAAGCUCAUCAAGUGACGGUAACUACCCAGAAAGGGACGGCUAACUACGUG